Molecule: long non-coding RNA, 6898 nt
Organism: Equus caballus (horse)
Lineage: Eukaryota; Metazoa; Chordata; Mammalia; Perissodactyla; Equidae
Source: Ensembl
GAACCAAUGGUGUGUUCUAGUUCAGUGGCCACAGCGUGGAAGAGACAUGACUGCAAGAGAGAGCAGGGGAAAGUCCCGAACUCCAAGGAACAUUCUGUUUAAAAACAACAAUCCUGAUUCCCCCAGGUGAUGUCAAGAGAAACCUUCAGAAAAAUGAUAGAGGGAGUCCAGAAGGCCACGACUUCUGCUUGGGGGUUGUUACUGAGGUCGUCAUCUUACCUGCUCUUCUUGUUGAGAUGUGCCCUGUUCUGAGGGAAUGGCCUGAUCCUGAUUUGGCUACAUAGACUUGGCUUCUCAGAGGUGCUGGGCGUCCACACGGUGCAGCCUGGUGCCAGCACACGAGAACUUUGCAGGAGCCCUGGGAUGGGCAUCUCCCUCUGUCUACACGGCCGGUCUGAGCUCCGGGCUGGGAUCUAACUACUUUCCUGCCACUGGGUGGCAAACAGGAGCACAAGUGGCUGAGGCCUGUGCAGUGAAAGCAUGACAGACGUGGCUUCGAGCAGUCGCACAUGGAGAGCCCGAGGCUGCUCUGUCAUUCCUGUGUCCUCCUUGGUUCUGGCAGCGACGGACUGGUGUGUGCCAAAACAAGACAGAGUGCACAGGCCGAGAGAAGAGAACGGAGAGCCGGGCAAUUUUAUCAAGGAUGUGGAUCCAGUCCAGGAGCGAGACAGCCUCAGCCACUCAUGGCGAAGCCUCUCGACAGUGCACUCGUGAAGAGGGAUCAGAGGCCCCCAGAGCAAGCACUGAGGGACACGGGGGCCACAGCACCCUCCCGUCAGGCUGCCCGAGCUUUGGGGCUUGAGUUGGAUAAAAUGGAUCCUCCUGCUUUUCCCUUCUUCUUCUCUCCUUCCAGAUGUCAGCUUCCCCCCUUCUGGCCAACCGCCCCAAUUCUUGCCUGUACCCAUGCUGACUCAGCCCAGCCUGCCUGGUUUUAGUCACCUGCCUCCCAUUGUGCUACUUUUAUCUGAACUGAUUUAUUUAUUUAUUUAUUUAUUUAUGUUUAAGAUUGGCACCUGGGCUAACAACUGUUGCCAAUCUUUUUUUUUUUUCUGCUUUAUCUCCCCAAACCCCCCCGUACACAGUUGUAUAUCUUAGUUGCAGGUGCUUCUAGUUGUGAGAUGUGGGACGCCCCCUCAAUGUGGCCUGACGAGCGGUGCCAUGUCCGCGCCCAGGAUCCGAACCCUGGGCCGCCGCAGUGGAGCACGCGAACUUAACCACUUGGCCACGGAGCCGGCCCCUCAACUGAUUUAUUUGGCACGAUGUGCACUUACUAACUGAUUCUAGUCUCUUGACUUCACAUACUUUACUAUUGGAACAAUCUCCAUUUGGGUCUUUUUGCCUUCUGGUUUUCAAUUCCGGGCAAUCCCCACGCUGUCUGGAACCCGCUAUUCCUCAGGAGCGUCUGUCUCCCGGAGCCCGCUGACCUCCUGGGUGAGACGCCAAGCUGACCCAAUGCCGCCAUCAGCCCCACAAGUCAUUCUGGUUCUAGGCAUACCGGCAGCUAAUUUAAAUUAUCCCCUUGUGGAUGUAUGUUUCUACAUUAACUAUUUACUAAGAGAUAUCAAAUGCAUUCCACAGAGUAGAGUCACUUCUAACUAAUCCUCUUGUUUAUCUCGUGAAGUCCUGCAUUAAAUGAAGUGCUACAGGUAUUACGGAGGAGGCUCAUCGAACCCAGAUGGAUCCAGUCAACACGAGGAGUUGCUCUCCUGGCGAGCACACUGCGGGGGUCAGGUGCCCAGCGCCCGGUAGACCAGGGGGGCUGCUACCCGAACGGGUCAUUAGUGUUGUCUUUGCCACUCUCAGUAGCAGUUAACGUGUUAUUUGGAGUGUAUUCUCAUGUGGUAAAUACUCAUAGUAGUAAUAUUACCAAAAGGGGUUUGGUUUGUAUGUAUGACCUGAAUUCACACAGAAAUAGAGGUCUCAACUAUGGUCCUAGAAUUCAUUUGGCAAGCUCUUAAAAGAGACAGAUGCCCAGGCCCCCUCCAGACCAAUUGAAACAGAAUUCCUAAGUGGCGUAGGGGAGAGGGUAGCAGGCACUGGUAUUUUACAAAUUUUCCAGAUGAUUUUAUCAUGCAUCCAAGGUUGAAAACGUCUGUUUUAGCAGAACUUUAGGAAGCCCCAGCUGACCUGCCACAUGCCCUGUUGUCCCCAGACCCCUGUCUUAAACUUGCAGAAAACUUACGCGAACCCAGUCUGUGGUUUGGGUCACGCUCUCUAACUUAGGAUUCAAAACUUGGACUUCUUUUUGUUCUUUCUCUGUUGUGUUAAUCCUCCAAAGUCAGAAAGCAAUGUAUCAGAGAAAAUUAUUUGUAAUUUUUAAAAGGGCCACAUCAAUGCCCAGAUCUCAUGGGUUUGUCUCCAGAGGAAAAUGGCUGUGGCAUCUUUGAAGAGUCCAGUAGGAAUUUCGACAGAACGAAAAUGUCAUCGAGCAUGAGUGGAAUCAAAGCAAGUCCUCAGUGGAAUGCUCCUGUCGAAACAACACUGUAACAGUCAGUUUUCCAGAUGUAAACAGGACACACUGCAGCUAGCCUGAGCAGAAAAUUCGUUUGUUAAGGGAGAGCUUGCAGGUAGGAGGACUGCCCAGACCCCACCAUGGGGUUGCUUCUCUGAAGCCUUGCUGCUGCCAUCGCAGGGCCAGGGGUGCAGGCCACAGCGAGGACCUGAGGCUGGCCCCUGUUAGCACCUGUGCCCACCCCCACGGAUGCCUUUACCACCGGCUCUAAGCGAUGUCCAUUCUCAAGAGGCACCCUUGCAGCAACCACUCCUAAUCAAAAGUGACUGGAAACACCUGGUGUCCAUCCUCAGCAUGUCCACGUGAAUCCAGAACUCUGGCCUCGCUCCCUGAAGCGUGUGCACCUCAUCUCAUCUUUAAUAGUGGCGUGGAAGCAAGGCUUUGCUCUCUGGGGAAGACGUUCUUGUUAUCAGUGGUGUUGGUGGGGAGAGGGUUGUAAAUGGUGCGUAAAGAGGACGAGGAGAGCCUGCCUCUUAACUCUAUGCCAAAAUAAUCCACCCUAGAAGAGGCUCCUGUCACCGAACAGACUUUCCUUUACACGCAAGCUGCCCCUGCAGCCCAGAGCUGGACUUCACAAUUAAGCAAGUUUGCCCAGUGCUUGAAACAAUGUUAGAAAGAGCUACAUUAAAAUACUAAUAGAGGGGCCGGGCAGGUGGCGCAGUGGUUAAGAUUGCACGUUCCGCUUUGGCGGCCCUGGGGUUUGAGGCUUGGGAUCCUGGGUGCAGACCUACGCACCGCUUGGCAAGCCAUGCUGCGGUGGGUGUCCCACAAACAAAGUAGAGGAAGAUGGGCAUGGAUGUUCACUCAGGGCCAGUCUCCCUCUGCAAAAAAGAGGAGGAUUGGCGGCAGAUGUUAGCUCAGGGCUAAUCUUCCUCAAAAAAUUUUUUUAAAAAACUAAUAGAAAAGUAGAGCUCUGAGGAAAUGCUCAUAAAAGAAUGCUGAGAACGUACGAAAAAAGUAAAAAAAACAAUAGGUUUUAUGGAGAAGAUGUUACUCUAUCAGGGACAGGAGAAAAAAGGAAAUUGUUUUUAUUACAGAAUAACAGGAGGGGUUUUAUUUGGACAAAGGCACAGUCCCUCCCUCGCCCCCCACCCCAUGUUGCUCUCAGGACCCCCAGCGAGUCCCCUGGCCCGGAGGAGAGGCGAUCCCCCUCUAACACAGAUGGCCUCCAGGAGGACUUGCCUAGAGGCCACAGAAUGACCCACAUAAACUCUUCAAGUCUCUCGCAGGUUUUGAUGCUGUGAAAAAGCUUUUGCCUAGGACUCCCGUGGAAACCACCUUAGUGUCUUCAAGCCACUGGGGAAGCUGUACAGCGAAUGAAGCCUAUGGGUAGUUAGUGGAGAAGCAAGUAGACACACAUCUGAGACUCUGCCUGCUCAACGAUCCGCCUCACACUCUCCACUCAUCUGGUCUCCUGGCCUCUGCCCCAGGUGGCCCUUUGCUUCUUGAAAAGAAGCACAAAGUCUGAAACACAGACUUCAAAGACGAAGGGAAUUCUAUUUUAACAUUUUCAUUUCAUUAAACUGGGACCAAUCAUGAAAGGUCAUCAGUAAAGACCAAACAAGAUAAGCAUUGAUCUGGGCGUCUUGCAGAAGGGCUGAGGGAGGGGUGGCCUCAGAGAAAGGAAAACACAAUUAAAUGUGCACUGGCUGCUGAAGGUGCAUAUUCUAUGCUGUUUGCACCCGGAGGGAGCAGCUUUCUAUUGCAAGCAUUUGGUUGGUGUCGGUCCGUUUCACUGGGAAGAAAAACGCAUGUGGGAACACUUACUGUAUAAUCAGGCUACGGGAAGAUGUUACCAUUCUUGCUUCCAAGAUCCAUUCUGUCCUUUGCUGUCAGGAGCCUGUCUUAGAUGUCAAAGAACAGUCAAAGUGUAACAACAGGGGGCCCAAGCAGUCAUUUCAAAUUAUUGAGAAAUAAAUGAAUGGAGACAAAAAUAUCUUGAUAUUAACAUCUAGCAUUUAUUUAUCUACCAGGCACUGUAAAGACAUUAUCUCAAUUUUAUUUUCUAAAAUGCCUAUGAAGUACCUAUUAUUGAGGAAAAUGAGGAGCGAUAUUAGGAAAUUUGUUCAUAGUUAAAAAUCAGAUUUACCCAUGUCUUUCUACUUAGCUAUGCCAGUCGGCAGCUGUCGGGGUUCUGAAGGACACUCUCAGUGUCCUGACACAUCCUCUUGUCCUUACCACUUAGUGCACUUGCCCGACUUCUCAGUUGGCAGCUCUCUGCCUGAAGACUUUGUCUGGCUGACCUGGGAGCCCAUUCUGCUCCUGCAGCAGGAAAGAGGUCCAAGUCUCCACGCCCAGUGCUCCACUCACCGCAAAGCAGCUGUCAACCAAUGACUGAGAGGAGCUGGUAUCACGCUCCCUCAUUCUUCAGGUGGGACCACUCUGAGACGUGUACUCUACGCUGGCUCCGAGUUCCUCAGCAGGAAUGCGCUUCAGUCAUCCAGCACAGAGUUGCUGACAUGAAAUUCUCCACUGAAGCUCACCACUCAGGACAAGCUCUCUGGGUCACCUUCUGAGACACAAUAAACGACAGCGUCGCGUCGGCCUCGUGAGUGUGAGUUCCGUAAGGGCAAGGACGUCACCAGCUUAGUUUAGCUGACUGUGUUUCCAGGGCCCAACGUAUUUAUUCAAUGAAAGAGUAAAAGGAUUAUAUACCAUUUCAUACCCAGGAAUAACAAAGCCUAUUAAAAACAAAAAUGAAUACUGGAAAAAAAAAAGAGCAUUUCUCCAGGGAAAUGAAGAAACAGCGCAUGUCUCAGUACGUGAAUUAUAGGUCCCUCGACAGAAAGUGUGUCCGCUUGGCCCCGGGUGUAAAGAGGCCUGAGAAAGCCAGGACAAACGUCCAGUCUCAUAAUUUGAAAGUGUCUGGGCAGCUGCUUGCACCUCUUGUCUGACCCACAUUCUGCCUAUCUGCAUAUUCAGAAGAACCACACGUGACCCACGACAGUGGUGAGAGUAGUCUCCUCUCUCUGCUAGACCCAAGCCACCGGGAUUUACUGCCACGUGGACAUUGAGAAAGAAAGCACUGGCCAUAGUUCAUGAAAAAGAUGACUUAGUUUGGUCUGAGGUGUCUGUAAGAGGUUUGGGACUUCACAUUUUGCAAGUGACACCUGGUAAAGCAUUCAGUGAGGCCGACUGAGUACUGAGUUUGCGACUCCAUUCACUUGUGAAGUCCCAAUCGUCAGCCAUGCCUUGACGUGCAGAAGAAAACCAUUUUGAGUAAAUGAUUUCCGUUACUGAAAGCCUAUGGGUAUAAUUUUCUGAGUUUCUUCUAUGGAAGACAAAGAUGUAUGUCUAGUAUUUGAUAAAUAUCAAAUGCAUUUGACUUAAUUUUAACUUUGUUCUCAUGGGCUUCCUUUGAGACCAGUAAGAAAUGGUUGAAUUGAAAACCAAGGGAUGGAGUGAGGCACUUGGAGUACUCAGUACUGUGGUAUUCAGUGCUUUGGUACUCAGUAGUGGGGCACUCAGUGCUGGGUACUCAGUACUGUGGUACUUGGUGCUAGGGUACUCAAUAGUAGGGGAGUAUAGCUCAUGCUUUCCUGGAAUAAGGAACAGAAUUGGUGGUCAUCAGGAAAUUUGACCGCAAGUGUGGGUUUAUCAGUCCUAGAUAGAGUCUCAGAAUUGGGAAGGACCCUGACAGUUCUGGAGUCUAACCACUCAUUCUGUGCUUGCAUCCCCACUGUGACAUGUUGCCCAUCUGUCCUCACCUCCUCCAAGAUAUCCAUUCCACAGAGAUUGCAAACUGGCAGCGCACAGAAAUGUUUUGUUUGAUUUGCCUGGUGUUUAGAUGUUUUUUAAAUUUAGCUCGUAACACUUAAACAUUGAGAGAUUCCUCAUAGACUCUUAGAACUCUGGCUUCUCCUGAAAAUCAGUUAACGCCACUGGUGCUGCCUUCCUGUGGGCGUCAACAGGCUGGAGUGUGGGAGCCACUCCCGCAUUGAGACGAGCACUGUGCUCUCCAGCUCCCCAGCCUCCACCCAGCCUGCCUUGCACUCCUUCUGCUGCCUCUGUUUGCCUUGGACCCUGACUUCUGUCCUGGAAGCCCUGUUCACUGGCUUGACACCAUGAGAAACCAGCUCCAAGCAAUACGAAUGCCCAUGUUUAAUAAAAGGGAAAACUCACUUUUACCUCUUUAGUUAUAGUCUUCUUGCUGUGGUUCAUGUUUUCUUCACUCUUCUCAUUUGUGCCCCCACACUCUAUUGACACUCUCGUCCAUUUGAGUCAAAUAUUUUUUGGGCUCUCGCAGGGUCCACAUUUUUCAAUAGACCCCAUGUAGUUGGAACAGAAACAAGGAAAGUAUAUGGUCUCUACACAGAGGGAGUUAAUAGCUCAUUAAAUGGCAAAGUGGAAAAAUUGAUGAUUGAGGCAGAUCAGUGUGUGGGAGGC